AGUGGCGAACGGGUGAGUAAUAUAUCGGAACGUAUCCAAUAAUGGGGGAUAACUAAUCGAAAGGUUAGCUAAUACCGCAUACGCCCUACGGGGGAAAGCAGGGGAUCUUCGGACCUUGCGUUAAUGGAGCGGCUGAUAUCUGAUUAGCUAGUAGGUGAGGUAAAGGCUCACCUAGGCUUCGAUCAGUAGCUGGUCUGAGAGGACGACCAGCCACACUGGAACUGAGACACGGUCCAGACUCCUACGGGAGGCAGCAGUGGGGAAUUUUGGACAAUGGGCGCAAGCCUGAUCCAGCCAUUCCGCGUGAGUGAAGAAGGCCUUCGGGUUGUAAAGCUCUUUCGCAAGGGAAGAAACGAUACCGACGAAUAAUCGGUGUUAAUGACGGUACCUUGAUAAGAAGCACCGGCUAACUACGUGCCAGCAGCCGCGGUAAUACGUAGGGUGCGAUCGUUAAUCGGAAUUACUGGGCGUAAAGCGUGCGCAGGCGGUUAUAUAAGACAGAUGUGAAAUCCCCGGGCUCAACCUGGGAACUGCAUUUGUGACUGUAUGGCUAGAGUACGGUAGAGGGGGAUGGAAUUCCGCGUGUAGCAGUGAAAUGCGUAGAUAUGCGGAGGAACACCGAUGGCGAAGGCAAUCCCCUGGACCUGUACUGACGCUCAUGCACGAAAGCGUGGGGAGCAAACAGGAUUAGAUACCCUGG
RNAcentral lists this ribosomal RNA (700 nucleotides) under uncultured beta proteobacterium. RNAcentral's name for it is "bacterial SSU rRNA". It matches the Rfam family "Bacterial small subunit ribosomal RNA", at positions 94 to 790 of the family's 1533-position model. The record is from RNAcentral. Lineage: Bacteria; Pseudomonadati; Pseudomonadota; Betaproteobacteria.